RNAcentral lists this ribosomal RNA (259 nucleotides) under uncultured Basidiomycota. Its description in RNAcentral is "partial 18S ribosomal RNA". It matches the Rfam family "Eukaryotic small subunit ribosomal RNA", at positions 624 to 886 of the family's 1831-position model. Lineage: Eukaryota; Fungi; Basidiomycota. The record is from RNAcentral.
AAGCUCGUAGUUGAAUUUCGGAUGUGGCUGGACGGUCCGCCUCACGGUGUGUACUGUCUGGCUGUGUUCUCUUUCUUGGUGAGCCGGCAUGCCCUUUACUGGGUGUGUUGGGGAACCAGGACGUUUACCUUGAGAAAAUUAGAGUGUUCAAAGCAGGCCUACGCCCGAAUACACUUAGCAUGGCAUAAUAAAAUAGGACGUGCGGUUCUAUUUUAGUUGGUUUCUAGAGCCGCAGUAAUGAUUAAUAGGGAUAGUUGGG